CUAGCGUUGCUCGGAAUCACUGGGCGUAAAGGGUGCGUAGGCGGGGCUUUAAGUCAGGGGUGAAAUCCUGGAGCUCAACUCCAGAACUGCCUUUGAUACUGAGGAUCUUGAGUACGGGAGAGGUGAGUGGAACUGCGAGUGUAGAGGUGAAAUUCGUAGAUAUUCGCAAGAACACCAGUGGCGAAGGCGGCUCACUGGCCCGUAACUGACGCUGAGGCACGAAAGCGUGGGGAGCAAACAGG
RNAcentral lists this ribosomal RNA (242 nucleotides) under uncultured bacterium. RNAcentral describes it as "partial 16S ribosomal RNA". It matches the Rfam family "Bacterial small subunit ribosomal RNA", at positions 535 to 776 of the family's 1533-position model. The record is from RNAcentral.